RNAcentral lists this ribosomal RNA (494 nucleotides) under uncultured bacterium. Its description in RNAcentral is "partial 16S ribosomal RNA". It matches the Rfam family "Bacterial small subunit ribosomal RNA", at positions 28 to 507 of the family's 1533-position model. The record is from RNAcentral.
GACGAACGCUGGCGGCGUGCCUAAUACAUGCAAGUCGAGCGGACUUAAAAAGCUUGCUUUUUAAGUUAGCGGCGGACGGGUGAGUAACACGUGGGCAACCUGCCUGUAAGACUGGGAUAACUUCGGGAAACCGGAGCUAAUACCGGAUAAUCCUUUUCUACUCAUGUAGAAAAGCUGAAAGACGGUUUACGCUGUCACUUACAGAUGGGCCCGCGGCGCAUUAGCUAGUUGGUUAGGUAACGGCUCACCAAGGCGACGAUGCGUAGCCGACCUGAGAGGGUGAGCGGCCACACUGGGACUGAGACACGGCCCAGACUCCUACGGGAGGCAGCAGUAGGGAAUCUUCCGCAAUGGACGAAAGUCUGACGGAGCAACGCCGCGUGAGUGAUGAAGGUUUUCGGAUCGUAAAACUCUGUUGUUAGGGAAGAACAAGUACGAGAGUAACUGCUCGUACCUUGACGGUACCUAACCAGAAAGCCACGGCUAACUACGUG